GGGCGGUUAGCUCAGCGGUAGAGCGCUCGCCUUACACGCGAGAUGCCGCAGGUUCGAACCCUGCACCGCCCA
RNAcentral lists this transfer RNA (72 nucleotides) under Elusimicrobia bacterium RIFCSPHIGHO2_01_FULL_64_10. Its description in RNAcentral is "tRNA-Val". It matches the Rfam family "tRNA". Rfam says of the family: Transfer RNA (tRNA) molecules are approximately 80 nucleotides in length. Their secondary structure includes four short double-helical elements and three loops (D, anti-codon, and T loops). The record is from RNAcentral. RNAcentral also lists the same sequence under 1 other name. Lineage: Bacteria; Pseudomonadati; Elusimicrobiota.